Molecule: long non-coding RNA, 1012 nt
Filed under: Nicotiana tabacum (common tobacco)
Lineage: Eukaryota; Viridiplantae; Streptophyta; Magnoliopsida; Solanales; Solanaceae
Description: long non-coding RNA (NTAB_LNC015308)
Source: RNAcentral
UUGAACAGUCUUAGCCUUAGAAGGUUAGCCGCCCUCGAGCCAAAAGUGCUUUUAUUGAUAUCAGAACAGAAUCACAAGAGGAUAAUAAGAACUAAAAAUAACAAUAUAUUGCUUUGGAAUGUGAGUUACAGUGUCUUCAGUGAAUUAUCAGACCCCCUUUAUAUAGUAGAGGAGUCCUACUUUAGGUACAAUUCUAUAGAAGUUAAAAAUCUCUUAAUUUGGUGAUUGUUGAUUCUUUAUUGAUACGUACCGAGAUUCCCGCCGCAAUAUCCGACCGGUCACAGAUAUUUUGGUCUUCUGUUAGUUAUCUCAACAAUGUCUCUCCAAACUCGUUCGAGGCUAAGGUCGACAUCGGACUCACCGCUAGUCGAAGGCAGGCGUUCCGACCUCGGGUCCUAGCUCGAUGGGACUCGAGGUCGAUCUUCAUUCCUUAGUUGCCACGUUCCAAACCUAAUCUACCAAGUCGUAGGCGAGCUCGAUUUCCACCGUAUACACUAUUCAUUGGAUCAAUGGGGAAAAUGGGCCUUUUAAUAAGUUGUUUUUCUUUCAAAAACUAAUACUGAUAAUAAAUUCUUUUCCAAUAAGGACAAUGGAUUUCUUUUAAUCGGUUGAGUUGCUUGGUGACGGAUGAAACACGAAGCAGCUGCUAGCAGACAAGAAAUGAAAAAGGCUAGUGUAUAGGCAGCAGCCGUUCUUGCUCGUUAAUUUUUCAUAUUCUAUUACUAAUAUGUUCACUAGGAAGUAUAACUUAAUUUUAGAGUAGAAAUGCUACUUAAUUUGGUGAGCCGUAAACAAUAAUUUGACAUUUAAAUAUCAAAUUUGACGGUAAAAAAUCUCUUAAUUUGCUGAUUGCCGGUUCCUUAUUGAUACGUGUCGAGAUUUUCGCCGCAAUAUCCGACCGGUCACGGAUAUUUUGGUCUUCUGUUAGUUAUCUCAACAAUGUCUCUCCAAGCUCGUUCGAGGCUAAGGUCGACAUCGGACUCACCGCUAGUCGAAGGCAGGCGUUCCGACC